GGAAUCAAUAACCAAUGAGAAAUGUAUGCCAUCCCAAUGGAGAGCUUAAAGCUGUAAUCUAUAUGUGCAGCAGAGAUUGCAGUUGUUCAACAACCCACUUGAAAACAGAUAUAAGGGAAAUAUAAGAGUCUACUGUUGCACUUCCCUUGCACCAAGUUCCUUGCUACCUCUUCAAAAGGCUGGGUGACAGCAGAUCCAAAAUUAAGUAGGUUUUUCCAGUCUCUCAUACCCCUGAGGAGAAAAGAAGGACUCAUGCAACUAUCAAGUGAUUCCUGGACAACCAAUAAUCCUUGGGCUAAACCAUACAAGAAAUCUGCAAGGAGAAAUAAUUCUCUUGGUCCUGAGUCAGUCUAUAUGAAAUUGUCAUAGCACUCUUGUCAAAGCACCACUCUAGAACAAACCUCAUGUCAACAGUUUUGUGUGAAUAAUGAGAUGAAAAACUGUCUUGCAAUAUUCACAAAAGACAACAGCAUGAAAGUAAAAUAGAUACUUAAUAAGAAGCUAAAACGAGGUCCUGUAAAAGCAAAAUCUUCACUGGAAGUUUGGGAAUGAUUUCGAUACUCUUGUUUGAUUCACAACACAAAUGCAUACAUUUUCCAAAAGGUUAGAGGAAGAACAGAACAAAGUCAGCAUAUGCAAACAGCAGAGUAAGGAGGUAGAUUAAAGUUAAAAAGCAAUCCUUCAAAUAUGUGAAUUUCAAUCUGAAUAAUGACCAGAAAAGAACAUGAACUUUUGUAGCUUGAAUGUAAAAACAAUAAUGCCAGACAAAAAAACCUCUAAAAUCUUCUCAGGAAAAAUGAGUACUUGGAUGAGAUGACAACAUAGAUUACAAUGUAGCAAAAGAACUAAAUUAAUAUUUUGAAUCUCCCUGCAUCACGUACAUGUUUGAAGACAUUUUUUUUUUUUUUUGCUUGUUUUAAGCCAGAACUUUUUUUAAUGAAGAACACAAAAGAGAAUAAAAAUAUCACAUUUAAAUGUCAGGAGCACAGCUCAUAGGACAACUUGACAAAAUGAAGGAUUUUACAUCAUCAAAGCCUAACACAUGUUUUCAAGACCUUUGUUGAAAUUCAAGGAAUAAAUGUCUGAAUUAUGGCCUUCCUACUUAAAAAUGGCUUUAUACCAGAGGACUAGAAGGAGACUUUGGAAACUCACUCAUCAAUAACCUGUACUGUGAAUGAAACAAAAAAAUAAGACAAAGUCUGGGGUCUCCACUGAGAUUCUUAAGGAAACAAAGUAGCCAUGGUAUAAGAGAAGACUCUACCCUGGAUAAAUAAAUGGCUAUAAAUUGGGACGCAGUGGAAAUUUUUUUUUUUCAUACAGAAGAGAAUUGACCAGUGAAGUUCUGAAUCAACUGUCAUGUAAAGAAGAUGAAUAACUAUGUGAAAAAUUUUCUGAUCGUGAUGAUUUAUUUGGGAUCUUAAAAAGAAGAGUUGGCUGCAGAGAGAUGCAAAAGGACUACACAUCCCUGAGAUGCGAGGUGAUAAACUGCAAGAUGGGAUUUUAUCCAAAUAAAUGUGAUGUGCAUAUGGAAAAACAAAUGUAAUUUUAUGACAGGUUCUGUAAUGAUGCGUUCUAAGAUGACUGUUAACAGCAGGAAUGAGCUCAUAGAUUAAAAUAAAUAUCUUCCCACAAUGAUCCUUUCAGUGUUCACUAAAAGGAAAAAACCCCAAAUGUUAAGGCUUAAUAGGUAAAGAAUAG
Melospiza melodia melodia is the source of this 1698-nucleotide long non-coding RNA. RefSeq lists it as uncharacterized. The record is from RefSeq and is a predicted model, not a curated record. NCBI's taxonomy places the organism in Eukaryota, Metazoa, Chordata, Aves, Passeriformes, Passerellidae. The transcript has 4 exons.